RNAcentral lists this long non-coding RNA (4725 nucleotides) under Equus caballus (horse). Its description in RNAcentral is "lncRNA (ENSECAG00000031858.3)". The record is from RNAcentral. Lineage: Eukaryota; Metazoa; Chordata; Mammalia; Perissodactyla; Equidae.
AAUAUCCUGGUUCUUAUAAAAAUUUCUCCCAGUAUUUUUGGCAACAUAGAUGAUUCUUGCUUGUAUCAAUUAUGAUGAUAUUUACCAAAUGGUGAGUUUUUAAUUCCUUCUACAUAGAUUACCUGGCUUUCUACCAAAACAAAAGAUUUGUCUUCUCUCCAUUUACUUAGUCAUUUAUCUGUAUAAUUUAUAUAUUUAUUUUGACGCUUAAAUCAUCCCUAAUUUCAACAUCCCUAAUAUCCCUCUUCAAGCUCAGUUCUGUGUUCUUGUCAUUUCCCAGCAUUCUUUGAGGACUUUCUUCAUAAGAUGUUCCAGGCCCAUAUUAUACAUUCACUUCCCCAUUCCUGGAAUCAGCCACUUCUUCAAGAAGCUAUGGUUCCUCUCAAUGACAGUGGUAUUUAGAAGCCAAGACCUAUGCAUCAAAUGAGCUCAUUGCUAUUGGUAUGUCACUGGUCCCUGGCUCUUCCAGCUCUUUCAGUGGACAGACUGGAUACACACACACAAACACACACACACACGUGUGCAAAUAUGAUUUCACAUUCAUAAUCCACUUCCAAUCCAACGUCAUCACAGGGUUUAUUGUAGAUUUCUUUCUAUAUUUAUACCUCGAUUUUCUGACAGUUAGAAAUCUCCCUCAUCAAUAUAUACACCAGGGUAAACAGGUUCAGUUCUUACGUAUGUAACAAAUCCAUUCUGACACAAUCCCAGUGCAGAUCCCCUCCUCACCUUUCUCAGACUCUCACACUCCAUGCCUGGCCACCACCAUCACCCCCUGUUCAGACACCCUCUUCCUCUGCUCAGGGUAACAACCCUUCCCACCAGUGCAGCACUAAAUUGCUCUCACCCCCGGCUGCAUUUUCCAGGAAGGAAGCAAGCAAGCAAACCACAUUUUUUAAGUUAAACAUUUUAUCUAACUAAAAAAUUAAAACCUAGAUAUGCCAGACCUCACCAAAAUGUGAGUAAAAAUGAUUCCCAAGUUACAACAGCCCCUUUUCCUGCAGGUGUUCAAUUAGACGAUCUUACUCAUUUAUUUCAGGGUCUUCCAAUGAGAUUACAAACAGAUGUGCUGUUGGAAAGCUCUUUAGUUCUUUCCUUCUGUUUCAUGAGGAUUAAAAGCAGUUGUGUCCACCUAAGUGAAAAAAGAAUCACCUGGGAGCAUUUAAAAACCGAUGCACUAGGCCCACUCCAAAGUUUCCACCUUCAGUUAACCGCUGAUUUAAAGUGCUUUUUCUCUGUCAUUAAAAUAACGUGACCUAAACUUACUGUGAGAGGCAAAUACUAAGAUGGAAUCUAUGAUCUCUAUCUCUGAUGUCCUCCACCCCUAUACUCAUCUCCUUUCAAGUGUGGCUGGGACAAACUUCUAGCCAAUAGAACAUAGCAGAGGUGAAAGAAUUUUGCAGAUGCAGUGUAGGUUCCGAGUCAGUUGAUUUUGAACUAAUCAAAAAGGAGGUCAUUUUGGUUGGGCCUGACUUAAUUAGUUGAAAACCCUUAAAAGACUAACCUAGCCGUCCCCAAUGAGAAGGACUCUCUCUCCUUCCAACCAGAGGGAUCUUGGAAGACGAUCUUUCCCUCGCUGAUCCUCUGAAUGAGAAUGCAAUCUAACAAGUAGAUUUCAGCUUCAUGAGAUCCUGAACAGAGGACCCAGCCCCCUAACACCUGAUGCUGCCGUCCGCACCUGACUCAGUCAAACCAUUAUGGUCUACCUUCAAGAUGGGGCAAUCAGAUUCACAUGCUGCCUGGGAAUUUUGAUCAUAAACUGAGAGCUACCCACUGCAAUCUCGGGAGAGAUGAGGCAACUUGAUGACAAUACCUCGUUAUAACAUCGAGGAAUUCCUUGUCCCUGGAGCUGUUCUGGCAUUGCCCUUGCAGAAGCUUUGCCACCCUGCUCUUUCAUUGCCUUUGAGUACCAUGCUACCUUCUCAUAAAUCUCCUUUGUACUUAAGUAGGCCAAGGUCCAUUGCUUUCUAUUGCAUGUACCCAAAAUAACAUUAACAGAUACAAUAAGCUUGUUAGUGCUACACAGAGAGCUGUUCUUUGCCCAAGGACAGCACAUUUCAAUUUAGCCAGGUAUUUUUUAAAAAUCUGUGCCAGGAAGCAAAGUUGAAUCUGGACCAAAAAAAUAUACAUGAAUCAGUGAAAGUCCAUUAUCUGUUAUGGAAAAGCAAAAGAACACAUACAAAUGACUCUAACAGUGGAUUAUAACAUAAAAGCAUCCUUUUGUAUGUUAUGUAUAUGAGUUUUGAUUAUAAAGAGUUAUGCCUCAAUUCUUAAAUGUGUCGCAGAAGUGAUUUCAUUGCUAGUUAUAUCAUAUGUUUACCAUUUAUGAACAAAAUCUUUAUACGCUGCACAUCUGUGAGAAUUCCUUUUUUGUACGAUUUACCAAGAAAAAAAUGAAGGGAGAUAAAAUUAAUCCAUCUCUUACAUGUACUCCAGUUCACUCUAUAAAAUAAAAUGAAGGUGGUUGAAGAAGGCAAUUAUAAGAUUUCGUUUUCUCGCUAAGAAGCUCAAAGUACUUAUCUGUCGUUAUUCAAUUGAUUUUGUAGGAUCCCCUUGAGAGUUGUGGAAUACAGUUAUUUUAUAACCAGAGAAAUUAAUGCAGAAACACCACAUGCUGUGUUAACUGUAAGAGCAGGAUUAGGAAUCAUAUCCUCUGAGUUUAUAAAUUAUCAUUAGCCCAUUAAAUUAUGUGGAGUUCGUCCCAGUGCUGUACACUUUCUUCUUCCUAACUGUGCUUCCAAUGUAGCAAUGAACUAAAUGGCCAACCAUUUUAUGAACCUUCUGGUUUAAGGUAAAAGAAAUCAUUUAGUGUCAAUUAACUUCGUUCAUGGAUCGACCCCUGUCUUUACAAUUCCCUAUGAGAGCGGGUGGGUCACUGUUAAAAUGUCACAUGCAUAAUGACAGGCAAACCAUUUUAGAAGUUAGUCACUUUUUUUGGUCUUCUAUUAAACGUCUUGGCCUGGUAGUCUGUGUAUAUCUAUCAUAUCUUUCAAUGGCAUCUGCCUUUAAUUUUCCACAUUUACCAUCCACUCAGCCACACUGUUUUAUUUCCCAUGAGGUGAACAUUAUUAUCUUUUCCCACUUCCUUUCUUUACAUUUCUUAUUUUUUUCUGACUCAUGCUGUUUCUCCUGACAUAAUGACAUCUCCUUCUGCUGACUUGACCUAAAUCCUGUGUAUCCGACCUUCUCCAUAGGGUCUUCCCUGGAACUUCAAACUAAGCCAUUCCUCUCACUUGUAAAUUCAGGUCAGACUUGUCUCUCUGCUGUUAAGGGUGUUAGUACUGUUUACUUAACUUCUUCCUCAUCCCUUGAACAUGUAUUUAACCCUCAUUUUGUUACUUCCUGUACUGACAUCUCUUCUUCCCAAGGAGAUUAAAAUCUUCCCAGGACAGGAACAGUGACUUACCUGAUUCUAGCUCAGAUAACAUCCAGUGCAGUAUUUUGCAUUUACCAGGUAUUUAAAAAUGCACAGUGUGGAGUCUUGAUUAAUUUACUUAGCAUGCUUCAGCAAAUCUGAUGCUUUGGAAAGCAGAGGAAAUUUUAAAAUGCUUAAUUUGUACCUAUUAAUAAUAUAAAGGGGGACAAUUAAAUACUUCUAUAUUUAUAAAAUGAAGAAUGGUUCAUAAAAAUAUGAUUUUAGUUUGUAACGUCCUUACACUGAAUACUAUUCCAUUAGACAGCAAUUUAGUUUUCAUAUAGUGAGUUAAAUAGCACAAUCACUAGAAACUCCUUCAGAUUAAUAUUAAUCUUGAUUGUCUCGUAGUCUAAAGGAAGAUACCAUUUUUGUUUAUUGGGCAUUUUAUUCUGUUGUCUAUGCGGGCAGUCAUUGGCCUCUGUGUAAACAGCCAAGGGUUCUCCCCAAGCCUACUUUAAACCAUUAUUCUCUACCUGCUGUUUUGACCCACCCAUCCACAAUUGUUAUAACCUAUGCCUCGCCUAUUGUGUGGUAGAGAGCUGGUCAAGUUCAUGGUUUUUAGCCUUUGUAUACAAUGCUUAUUCCAGAGCACCCUAGACCACCUCGUUUCUCUGAGCUCCUUCUGCAUCUCACUCUAUUUCUUUACUCAAAAACAUAAACAUUCAGUUAAAUAAAUCUCUCUUGAGUUCUUAUUAGCAGCAGGGUACUGGACUAGCUGUUGCUAAUGAAUCUACUGCUGUGUCAAAAUAUUUAAAGAUUACAUUUUGAAAUGUAAUCUUUGAUCAAGCUACUCCACCCUAAGAUUUUAUCCUGAGGAAAUAAUCAGAAUUAGGCAAUAACAUUCAUGUACAGAGAUGUUCAUAAUAGCAUUAUUUGAAAUGUCAAAAUAUUUAAAACCAAAGCAAGAAAAUACUGCAUUUUCAUAAGCAGGAAACAACUUAUAAACAUCAAAGAACAUCGGAAAAGGAUAUUUUAUGACAAGAUAAAUGGGUACCACAUAUUGUGAUAUAGCAUGAUUUAUUAAAUCAUUUACUAUCACAUGCAAUAUGUCACACAUAAGUCAAGGCACUAGUUACAUGGCCAUAAAAAAGUAAAGAAGCACCUGCCCAGGUGAAGCUUACAUUCUCAUGAUGAAACAGAGACUAAAAGAUAAGAAAAUAACUACAUCGUAAAUAUCAGGCAGUGACAAAUAGAAUAAGGGGGAGCCUGACUCAGGAACUAUUUUUCAUGAUAGUCAAGUAAGAUAAAAUCAGUCAAGUGAAUACCUGAAAAAGAGUAUUUCACACAAAGCAAAUCUUAAAGAUUUGAUAUUA